AGCAGCCGCGGUAAUUCCAGCUCCAAUAGCGUAUAUUAAAGUUGUUGCAGUUAAAAAGCUCGUAGUUGAAUUUCGGGAUCAGCAGGUCGGUCGUGCCACUGGUAUGCACUGGCUUUGCUGGUUCCUCCUUUCUGAAGAACUGUAAUGCCAUUAAUUUGGUGUUGCAGGGAAACAGGACUGUUACUUUGAAAAAAUUAGAGUGUUUAAAGCAGGCUAACGCUUGAAUACAUUAGCAUGGAAUAAUGAAAUAGGACGUUCAAACCUAUUUUGUUGGUUUCUAGGAUUGACGUAAUGAUUAAUAGGGAUAGUUGGG
RNAcentral lists this ribosomal RNA (313 nucleotides) under uncultured Glomus. RNAcentral describes it as "SSU rRNA". It matches the Rfam family "Eukaryotic small subunit ribosomal RNA", at positions 569 to 886 of the family's 1831-position model. The record is from RNAcentral. Lineage: Eukaryota; Fungi; Glomeromycota; Glomeromycetes; Glomerales; Glomeraceae.